CCUACGGGAUGCACCAGUGGGGAAUAUUGCACAAUGGGCGCAAGCCUGAUGCAGCCAUGCCGCGUGUGUGAAGAAGGCCUUCGGGUUGUAAAGCACUUUCAGCGGGGAGGAAGGCGAUAAGGUUAAUGACCUUGUCGAUUGACGUUACCCGCAGAAGAAGCACCGGCUAACUCCGUGCCAGCAGCCGCGGUAAUACGGAGGGUGCAAGCGUUAAUCGGAAUUACUGGGCGUAAAGCGCACACAGGCGGUCUGUCAAGUCGGAUGUGAAAUCCCCGGGCUCAACCUGGGAACUGCAUUCGAAACUGGCAGGCUAGAGUCUUGUAGAGGGGGGUAGAAUUCCAGGUGUAGCGGUGAAAUGCGUAGAGAUCUGGAGGAAUACCGGUGGCGAAGGCGGCCCCCUGGACAAAGACUGACGCUCAGGUGCGAAAGCGUGGGGAGCAAACAGGAUUAGAUACCCGUGUAGUC
RNAcentral lists this ribosomal RNA (465 nucleotides) under uncultured bacterium. RNAcentral describes it as "bacterial SSU rRNA". It matches the Rfam family "Bacterial small subunit ribosomal RNA", at positions 338 to 795 of the family's 1533-position model. The record is from RNAcentral.